This 315-nucleotide ribosomal RNA is filed under the name uncultured bacterium. RNAcentral describes it as "bacterial SSU rRNA". It matches the Rfam family "Bacterial small subunit ribosomal RNA", at positions 28 to 334 of the family's 1533-position model. The record is from RNAcentral.
GAUGAACGCUAGCUACAGGCUUAACACAUGCAAGUCGAGGGGCAGCAUGAACAUAGCUUGCUAUGUUUGAUGGCGACCGGCGCACGGGUGCGUAACACGUAUCCAAUCUGCCCGUUACUCGGGGAUAGCCUUCUGAAAGGAAGAUUAAUACCCGAUAGCAUUCAUUGGCGGCAUCGCUUAUGAAUUAAAGAUUUAUUGGUAACGGAUGAGGAUGCGUACGAUUAGCUAGUUGGCGGGGUAACGGCCCACCAAGGCUACGAUCGUUAGGGGUUCUGAGAGGAAGGUCCCCCACACUGGAACUGAGACACGGUCCAG